UGUAACGGUGGGUAACACCAUCGGUAUUACGAACGGGGUGCAGCAAGGGAAGGAAGCCGCGACGGCGGCUGCCCCCGCCGUUCCCACCCUGGGGGGCUCGGGGGGCUCGUACCGCUCCGGGGACCCCCCCCCCCCGGCCCACCCGUCCUGCUGCCAGCCCCUUGGGGAGCUUCUGGAACCCCUGCCCCGGCGGUUCCCCUGGGUUUGAGUGAGAAAGCAGGAAGAACCGCCAGAUGUUUCGAGGACGCACCGUUUUACGGAUACAACGUGCACCUGUACGUGGAGCCACAGGAGGAAGAACCAGAGAUGCUUAUUUCAGAAUUCAAUUGUUCCAGAAAGAUGACCUGCUGCAGGAUAGGAGGCAAACCACCAAAAGGAGAUAAAUCCAUCUGCUGCAGUUGGAUGGCUUGUGUCCUCUCAAGCCGGUCAAGGUGAUCCAAGGGGCUCAGCUGGACAUGAAAACACGAAAAGGUGCCGUUAUGAACUUCCUCAUGGCAUGGACAGUAAUGAACUGCAGUUCUGAGUAGGAAAAUGGUGAAAAGCACAGUCAAGCCAGGGUCAGAUGAGCCACAGCACUCCAUGGAGCAGGGAGCUCACACAGGGAGGUGGGACAGUUUGGCUGGGGCGCCUUGUCCAGGAUCACUUGAUGUCAUAUCUACAACCAGCGCUUCUUUAGUCAACAAAGGCAAAUAGCCUUGCUGUGAAGAAGAGACCCAACUACUGGCAAUGUGCUUCAUUUUAAAGUGGCUGGCCAUGCCAUGCUGGAAAAAUAAAUAGAGAAAGAGUGGUAAUAGUUUAGCAGAGAGAACAACAGGUUUUCCACCUCUUAUCUAGAGAUAACGGUGGGGCAUCAAAGGGGUUUUUUUUCACCCUCUUCCCAGCACCUGUCCUUAUUUGUUGAACAAUUUAUGGCUCCAUCUGAAGUAUUAUCCUGCUAAGGGCAGGAGGUAUUUGCAGUGCAGCCCAACAUAAUCCUCCCCUCAGAGAUUAAGGCUAUUACCUCAUUGAUGCUCCUGGUCUCUGCCAGCCUUGGCAUAGCCCUGCACGGCAUCACUGCAGGGCUGCGGCACAAUGGCUCACUAUGCUGCCAUCUAAGCCAUGGAAUGCUUCUCCUGUCAUUCCUUUUAUUCCUGGAAUGACAUGACAGUAAUCAUGGAUAAUGAAUUCUGUUAAUGAGAUGACUUAUUUCAAAAGUAAAUAAAGCUCAGGUGUCACGUGAAUGAAAAAAAAGAAAUGUGAAAUAUCCGCAAAGGUGAUUUUGUCAAAUGUGCCAGGGGAUGAAAAAAACCUCACACACGCGCUGUGUUGAGGGAGCUGUCACUGUGUGGGUAGGACUCCAGAAGCAAGAAAGGAGAACAGUAAAGCUUAACUUCAUCCCUGGUGUGAAUGAUGGAUUGCACAACCACUCAUGCUCCAGUAUAGAUGUAAGAAUUUUACCCCAAAUAACCAGAAAAUCUGAGCUAUCCUUCAGCUUUCAGCACUGCUCUUUUUUCACCCAAGGAGGGAAAGGUCCCAGGAAGAUAGCAAUGGGGAAUUAACCUCCUGGAGAGACUCUGUGGGCCCCCUAACCAGAAGGGCAUCCAGUGUGUGGUGAGACUACUCCAUCACAGCACAGCCUGUAGGUCAUCCUGCACCAGCCUUUCCAGAGAGCUCCGUGUGGAUUCAGGCUGCGGAGAAGCUGCCCUGCUGUUUGGUUGUUUAAGAUGCAGCUGCAGAAGAAAAGAAAAGCAAAACCAUGGCUUGAUUUAUAUCUCUUGGUUAUUUUAAAUCAUUCUCAAAAGAAACAAACAAACAACCCCAGACACUUUUAAACUGAACCAUUUUAAAAAUGGCAAAGUGCUUCUAUCAUUUUCAGUA
Long non-coding RNA from Apus apus (common swift), 1857 nucleotides. RefSeq lists it as uncharacterized. NCBI's taxonomy places the organism in Eukaryota, Metazoa, Chordata, Aves, Apodiformes, Apodidae. The record is from RefSeq and is a predicted model, not a curated record. The transcript has 3 exons.